This 447-nucleotide RNase P RNA is filed under the name Escherichia coli. RNAcentral describes it as "RNase P RNA component class A". It matches the Rfam family "Bacterial RNase P class A". Rfam says of the family: Ribonuclease P (RNase P) is a ubiquitous endoribonuclease, found in archaea, bacteria and eukarya as well as chloroplasts and mitochondria. Its best characterised activity is the generation of mature 5'-ends of tRNAs by cleaving the 5'-leader elements of precursor-tRNAs. The record is from RNAcentral. Lineage: Bacteria; Pseudomonadati; Pseudomonadota; Gammaproteobacteria; Enterobacterales; Enterobacteriaceae.
GAAGCUGACCAGACAGUCGCCGCUUCGUCGUCGUCCUCUUCGGGGGAGACGGGCGGAGGGGAGGAAAGUCCGGGCUCCAUAGGGCAGGGUGCCAGGUAACGCCUGGGGGGGAAACCCACGACCAGUGCAACAGAGAGCAAACCGCCGAUGGCCCGCGCAAGCGGGAUCAGGUAAGGGUGAAAGGGUGCGGUAAGAGCGCACCGCGCGGCUGGUAACAGUCCGUGGCACGGUAAACUCCACCCGGAGCAAGGCCAAAUAGGGGUUCAUAAGGUACGGCCCGUACUGAACCCGGGUAGGCUGCUUGAGCCAGUGAGCGAUUGCUGGCCUAGAUGAAUNUUUACGUAAAAACCCGCUUCGGCGGGUUUUUGCUUUUGGAGGGGCAGAAAGAUGAAUGACUGUCCACGACACUAUACCCAAAAGAAAGCGGCUUAUCGGUCAGUUUCACCU